RNAcentral lists this non-coding RNA (62 nucleotides) under unclassified sequences. Its description in RNAcentral is "freshwater-1 RNA". It matches the Rfam family "freshwater-1 RNA". Rfam says of the family: Freshwater and estuary metagenome. The record is from Rfam by way of RNAcentral.
UGUGAUGGACCCUGCUCUGUGUGGCCACACAACAGGUGGACAGUAAACUAUGUCCAAUCAAA